CCUGGAGGCUUCGAGGGAGGUGGACGGUAUGGCGGUCUCCGGCGGCGUCCCGUCUCCCUCUAGCCCAGGAGCCUCGGGGUGUCAGAGGCCGACUCCCCCCGAGCCCCCGGGGGUCGCUAGUCUUGCCCUGGCCGCAAAGAUGGAGGUUUCGCCCCCCUCAGCCCCGCCGCCGACGGUCGGGCAGGGGGGAGGCCGGGCCGGGCCGGGCCUUCCCAGAGGCCUUUGCUUCCUCCGCCCGCCCAGAAGAGGUGGCCAUUCAGUCAUUCAUUCAUCCAUCCAUUCAUUCAGUCAAUCGUACUGGCCCAACCGUCGCCCCCUGACACGGCCCCCGACGACCGUCCCCACAGGAGCAAGAUGGCCUUCGUCACUGGAGAUGGCCUGAGGAUCGGCUUCCGCAUUGCUGAGAUUUUUCAAGAGGUCUCGGGAGCCUGCUUUGUUCUCCACUUGGUCUCGCCCCGCCCCCAGAGGUGGGGCUGGAUGUCUGGCGGUUAGCAUCCUUGCUCCUUGGGCCCCCCAGACAUGGCUGUCACGCCGCCAUCUCCAGCAGGAGCCUGCUGGGAGUGUUUGAGACGCCAUGACCUGACACCUGGCUGUGGAGUGGAGCCCCUAAAACAUCCGGGUCAACAGCCUGGCCCCCCGGCCCAUCAGUGGAACCGAGGGCAUGUGGCAUCUUGACUCUGCCUCCAGCAGCCGCUCAGUCUGGGCUGUUUGGUUCCAGGAAGUUUCCAGAGCUGUCCUGGAGAUUACCCCUCCAAGGCUGUGGAGCAAGACGAAGAUCGCCCAUGACGCCCUGCAUCUGGCCAGCCCCCGGCAUCCUAUGUCAGUGGGUGCCACCCUGAUGGUGGACGGCGGCAGCUGGCUGACGUCCCCAGUGGCUCCUUGGCUCGGCAGCUGCGGGAUUCUCGGCUAAACUCUAGGCAGUUGGACGGCCAAUGGGAAAGAAUGGUGAUGCUGGGAGCCCCCCAGUUCUCUGACUCUCGACCUCUCGACCUCUCAUCCUGAGCCAACGCUGCCCCUGCUCCAUCCAGUUCUCCGUCCAGGGGGCCGACGGGUGUGAUCUUCCAGCGCCGAGGAGAAAACCAAAUCUCUGCUCUUCUCUGGCCGUGAGCCGAAUACCUUUUCUCCCCGGCUGCUGGUUGCGAGGUCCCUCCUGGCUGUUUGGGGGAGGUGGGGAUCAGGGGCGUGGGACAAGCAGCCUUGCAGUUAAGCACCGGCUUGGGCUAAUCUCAGGAACAAAGUUUUGGGGAUGGGAGGGCUUUGACAUUCCAGGAAGUGGGGGCUGUUGAUGGGAUGGGGAAGUUUGGAUGUAUUUUCAGAAAGGGGACCGGAUGGCGCCGCUAGCCCCGGUCUCUGGCUCUGUGUGCCAGGGUGUCAGACCCAGUCUUCAGUCUGUCAGUCAAUCAGUGGCAUUUAUUAAGGAGCCAACAGAGUGCCAAGCCUGGAACUAGGUGCUGCUGUCUGGUUCUUAAAAAGCAUCGAGUUGUAGCAGCACAGCACAAGGGGUUUGUUUUUGCAGUAGUGAUAUGGUUUUGUAUAAGUGAGGACAGAGUCUCUUGCCCUAAAAGUGAGCUGAGCCUCAUCACCAAAAGUUGGGAGAGGUAGUUAUGGUCUGCGGUGGGUGUGUUCUUCCCUCACUCUAUCAACAGGGUCCAGUCAACUGUUGGUGCUUUUAAUUGUAUGGUCCAUGGGUCCAAUCAAUUGUGGCUGUGGUUCUCCUUAACUGGAGAUGGGGUUGGGACCUGAUGCGAGACUUGGGAAAAGACAAGCUAGAUUAAGUACAAAAUAGAGUCUGAAAACAAAAUGAGGUUGGACUGGUUAAGAGUGGGUUUCCACAUUCCCCCUUUUGAUGCCUCACUGGCAUCACAACAGAGAGUCCUGUUCACAAUUCCUUUCCAGCCAUAAGGUGCCUUGGCUUACACAGCUUUUACCUCUUCAUCAUCUCAACCUUACCCUAUGCUUACAGCCACAGAGUAUCUAAGUGGAAAGGUCCUUUGGUUUGAUCAUGAUGCAGGCUUGAGGGCUGUAUUUGCAUGAGUCUUAGGAUCUCUUUCUCCUCUGGCUGUUUCCUUUUUUUUCUUGAGGGCUGUAGAAACGAUCCCUUCCAGUCCACUCGAGUUAGCUAUAUCUCGCAAACAAUUAAAGCGGUUUUACAGGACAGAACUGAUGUGAUCGGGAUUACAAAUGUUCCAAGCAUUGUAAGAUGUACUAUACCCUUAAACCAUCUGCCUACUUUGGGAAACCAAGAGGUGACUAAAGACCACAGAUUCAACUCUGUCAUUAUUUGCCUCAUGGGACAAAUGUUCCUGCUUUAAUCUUUCUGCCUUUUGGGAUAAUUUAUAUGGUAUUGCAGUGAGUUUUUUGGUUUUUUUUAAUUGUCGGGUUGUAUUGGAAUAAUUCAGUAAGGACUAUGUUCCAUCUUUCCCAGUUCACAGGAGGGGACAUAGUGGCACAAGGGUCUUCUCUUCAGAAUUUCAUAUGGGCUUAAACUCAUCUUUCAGCUUUCAGUGUGUUCUGUGAGCCGAAGAGAGCCAAGGGAAGGGCAUUCUGGCCGUUUCAUCCUGUUUCAGAGCAUAGUUUUGCUAAUUAGUUUUUUAAAUGUUCCUUUGCUUUAACCCAUCAGGUCUCAGACUGCGGGUGAUAGGGGCGAAGGGAAUUUUAUUACCUAGUCUUUUUGCAGAUAUCUCUAUUUGGUAAAAUGAGUUCCUUGGUCACCAAAAAUAGUGAGUUCUCCUGAGAGUAAUUUUGCUGUCUCCUUGCCUAUAAGGAAAGCUUUCCACCCAUUUUGAGGUGGUCAACCAGUACUAAUACGUGAGAGAAAACCAUUGUGUGCAGCAUCUAUAUAAAGUCAAUCUGUUUAUUAACAAGCAGUCUGCAGGAUGCGUUCCCCAGGGUACUCUAGUACUAGUUAGUACUCUAACUCCACUGUUAGUUUGCUGGCACACUCAGCAUCUUUCAACUUAUUGACUUACCAAUUAUCCAAUUUUGGGGUGCAAACCAGAGAUUCGAGGUAGAGGCGACUGCCCCCUUUUUGUCCACACGUGUAUGGCAAUGCACCAGCCAGCCAAGAAACAGAAAUACAGUGAGGAGAGCAACUGGGAGGUCAUUAGGGACAACUCAGAGUCCAAAUGGGGUUUGGUGGCAUUUUAAAGUUAGCCAAGAUUUUAUGUCUUCCAGAGGGGGGAAAAGGUGGUAACUGGGCUGGGAACUACUGGAAAUGGCUCCGAGGUCCUGUACAAAUCUGUUUUGUCAAAGUCAGCAGUUGUUUUUUUCCCUCCUUCCCCUCCUGACAGGGAGAAUAGGGGUAUUACAUGGACUUCCUAGUAGGAAUGAUUACACCCUGCUGUAAGAGAGGUUCUACAACUGGGCCAAUGCCCAGUUCUUGCUUGGGCAAAAGAGGGUACUGGGACUUUAGAGGAGGGGGUUUGUUGGGGUCUAAAGUUGUCUGCACAGUGGGGCCUGGUGAGGGCAGAGCCUAGAGAAGCAGCGUGGCUCAGUGGAAAGAGCACGGGCUUGGGAGUCAGAG
Long non-coding RNA from Ornithorhynchus anatinus (platypus), 3523 nucleotides. RefSeq lists it as uncharacterized. The record is from RefSeq and is a predicted model, not a curated record. Lineage: Eukaryota; Metazoa; Chordata; Mammalia; Monotremata; Ornithorhynchidae. The transcript is spliced from 5 exons.